This 1276-nucleotide ribosomal RNA is filed under the name uncultured bacterium. Its description in RNAcentral is "bacterial SSU rRNA". It matches the Rfam family "Bacterial small subunit ribosomal RNA", at positions 83 to 1381 of the family's 1533-position model. The record is from RNAcentral.
GAGUAAGACCAAGCGGCGGACGGGUGAGUAACGCGUGGGUAACCUACCCUAUACACAUGGAUAACAUACUGAAAAGUUUACUAAUACAUGAUAAUAUAUAUUUACGGCAUCGUAGAUAUAUCAAAGUGUUAGCGGUAUAGGAUGGACCCGCGUCUGAUUAGCUAGUUGGUGAGAUAACUGCCCACCAAGGCGACGAUCAGUAGCCGACCUGAGAGGGUGAUCGGCCACAUUGGAACUGAGACACGGUCCAAACUCCUACGGGAGGCAGCAGUGGGGAAUAUUGCACAAUGGGCGCAAGCCUGAUGCAGCAACGCCGCGUGAACGAUGAAGGUCUUCGGAUCGUAAAGUUCUGUUGCAGGGGAAGAUAAUGACGGUACCCUGUGAGGAAGCCCCGGCUAACUACGUGCCAGCAGCCGCGGUAAUACGUAGGGGGCUAGCGUUAUCCGGAUUUACUGGGCGUAAAGGGUGCGUAGGUGGUCUUUNCAGUCGGUGGUUAAAGGCUACGGCUCAACCGUAGUUAGCCUCCGAAACUGGAAGACUUGAGUGCAGGAGAGGAAAGUGGAAUUCCCAGUGUAGCGGUGAAAUGCGUAGAUAUUGGGAGGAACACCAGUAGCGAAGGCGGCUUUCUGGACUGCAACUGACACUGAGGCACGAAAGCGUGGGUAGCAAACAGGAUUAGAUACCCUGGUAGUCCACGCUGUAAACGAUGAGUACUAGGUGUCGGGGGUUACCCCCCUCGGUGCCGCAGCUAACGCAUUAAGUACUCCGCCUGGGGAGUACGCACGCAAGUGUGAAACUCAAAGGAAUUGACGGGGACCCGCACAAGUAGCGGAGCAUGUGGUUUAAUUCGAAGCAACGCGAAGAACCUUACCUAAGCUUGACAUCCCUUAGACCGGCGUUUAAUCACACCUUCCCUUCGGGGCUGAGGUGACAGGUGGUGCAUGGUUGUCGUCAGCUCGUGUCGUGAGAUGUUGGGUUAAGUCCCGCAACGAGCGCAACCCUUGUCUUUAGUUGCCAGCAUUCAGUUGGGCACUCUAGAGAGACUGCCAGGGAUAACCUGGAGGAAGGUGGGGAUGACGUCAAAUCAUCAUGCCCCUUAUGCUUAGGGCUACACACGUGCUACAAUGGGUGGUACAGAGGGUUGCCAAACCGUGAGGUGGAGCUAAUCCCUUAAAGCCAUUCUCAGUUCGGAUUGUAGGCUGAAACUCGCCUACAUGAAGCUGGAGUUACUAGUAAUCGCAGAUCAGAAUGCUGCGGUGAAUGCGUUCCCGGGUCU